Molecule: ribosomal RNA, 253 nt
Filed under: uncultured bacterium
Lineage: Bacteria
Description: partial 16S ribosomal RNA
Rfam family: Bacterial small subunit ribosomal RNA
Source: RNAcentral
UACAGAGGCCUCGAGCGUUAGGCGGAAUCACUGGGCUUAAAGCGUGUGUAGGCGGAUCGUUAAGUGCUUUGUGAAAUCCCACGGCUCAACCGUGGAAUGGCUUGGCAUACUGGCGGUCUUGGGCCACCUAGGGGCGAGCGGAACAGACGGUGGAGCGGUGAAAUGCGUAGAUAUCGUCUGGAACGCCCAUGGUGAAAACAGCUCGCUGGGGGUGCGCCGACGCUGAGACACGAAAGCCAGGGGAGCGAACGGG